Molecule: long non-coding RNA, 2445 nt
Organism: Centrocercus urophasianus (Greater sage-grouse)
Lineage: Eukaryota; Metazoa; Chordata; Aves; Galliformes; Phasianidae
Exons: 3
Source: RefSeq, a predicted model, not a curated record
CCCCGCAGCUCCUCCCUCGCCCGGGCCCAACACGCCGCUCUAGUAACCGCCCUCGGCGCGGGCAGAAAGUCAUCAACCUUUUAUUCUUAUUAUUACUACUAAAAAUCUCUGCUGUCUUUUGCGAAUUGCCGUGAAUUUCCACUCGGCACACGCAGGUGCGUUCUGCGUUUCCUCAGUUGCUCCGCGCCUCCAAUCUGACACGGCCGAGGGCUUUGCGGGGCUCCUCCUGUAGAUACAAAGCGGGAAGCGCCGCGGCACAUCCGCACGGCUCCCUUUGCCAGCCGCAGAAACCUGACUUGCUCUGCUCCGCUCCCUGGGCUGCCGUGGGACGCCAGAACGGCGCUGCUGAUGGGGGAAGGCAGCUGCCCUCCUCCUUCCCGCCAGCAGUCGUCCCUCCACACCCGCAGGAGGACGGUUUCCCUCCAAGCAGCCUGCCGCACGCACUGGCCAUACCUGCACGUGGAAGGUCUGGGCGAUCUCUGCGUCCACAUCGUAAACAAUCCCAGGGGUGCUUCACCUUCGUCCUUAUCUGCUCCCUCAAAGACAAGAGAUGAUGGCGGUCACACUUAGGUAGGCCAUGCGAAAACUAACGUGCCGAGGCCGAGAGUGGGAGCCCCUCCACCCCCACAUCAGCUCUGGCAGAAUUGGAGCACAAAGGAGGGUGAGCCUGAGUCAGGGCACGUGGAGUAAUUGCUCCCAGCUGCUCGGCCAUGAAGAGCAGCAGAGGGGUCUUAUGGGGCUCUGUGGCAAAGCUUUUCCUCUCGGGCUUUCCUCCAGAAGAAGUAGUGGGCGGAGACUUACUGAGAUAGCAAACUCUUUGAGGACGCUGUUGACUUUCCCGGAGGGAGAAACUGCCUUGGAGAUGUGCCAGGCGGUGAAAGCUGUGGGCUGGAGAUGCUGAUUCUGAAGGUGCUUGUGCUGGAGCUUGAAUUUCAGCCUGCAGAUAGCUGGCUGUGGUGGCUGGUCUCUGACAGUGGAACCCAGGCAGCACCAACAACUGGCAUGCCAGGUAGGAUACCACUGCAUUUACAGUGCAAUCAAAUGAGAAUGUGACAGAGACUCUGGUUGAAGUUCUGCAUGAUUUUGAGGCAGCUAACGGUGAUGAGCUUAAUUUAAAAUGAGGGGAUAUUGCACUAGUAAUUCCUUCUGAGACCACAGCUGAUCAGGUAACAACAACAUGAUUAUUUAUUUCUUUUGCUAAUGUUUCCCUUUGUCUCAGUUUCCUUCUCACUCUUUAUAGUUACUUUGAAAUGUUGAUUCAAAAUGUCUUUGCUGUUAGAAAAGACCAACAUUCUUAUUUUUCCCUAUUACUUGGUUUGAUUUGUGACCAAGCAGCACAGUUAACUAAGCUAAAGUCCCAGGUAUGUACUGCCAACAGGAUCCAACUUCAGUCUGUUUUUCUAGGGCACUUUUAUGUUACUUUGUAGUGAAUUUUAUAUAGGCUUACAUAGACACAGGCUGAAUACAGAAGAUGGCUUACAAAUUGUGCAUCCUGCUAUCAUUUUGUUGUUACACUGGGUCAGAACUGAUUGUAUUUCCCCACAUGUUCAGAGUUUUACUUGGAGAUCUGGGGAAAUAUACAUUUGCCCAGAGAGAGCACUGAGACUGCACACAAACAGUUCUGUCCUGCAGCCAAAUGGCACAGAGGUGUUCCUACAUGUCCUGUGUGCCUCUUGGAACCUGAGCCUCACACAGCUGUGCUCUUGAGCUGCACCAGCAAUCACUUUGUCUUUGGUGCAAGAAUCCAACAGUUCAGUGUCAUUUAAGAUAUUUUAUUUUGUUUUAACAGCGUGUUUCAGGUUAAUUUUUAAACAAUUCCACGUUAUAUUGAUUUGCAAUCAAGUGAAUUAAUUUUUUACCUCUUCUUUUGCCUUUUAUAUGGAAUUAGUGAUGGUGUUACAAAACAAAAAAUGUCUAGGAAAUGCUUGAUAGGGAACUAGAGUUGUCCAAGAGAAAGAGAGCAAGGAAGGAAAAAGUGGUAUGGGAAGUGGCUAGGAGACAGAAGGGCAUGAAGAAUUAAGUCACUGAGUUUGCAUCUCAAAUGAUUUUCAAGUUUCACCUCAGGACACAAAAUCCUGAAUGAUGAGCAUUCAAGCCUGGGAAUUGUUACAGGAUGAAAAAAUGUAGCAAGAGCUCCAGGUUUACCCUUUGUCUGCACCUUCCAGACAGAGCAGGAAGGAAAACCUGAACCCGCACUGCAGCAGUCCAACUUCCUCCAAGCUCCUGGUGCCUGGAUGCCCUGACGCAGCACUGGGCAGGACCAAGGCCGGCACAGCACUCCUGCUCAUCUUCCAGCUCAUUGGACAGCUAUAAAUUCAACUUACAUGUUUCCACCCCCCCCCACCAAACCACUUGCAUUUUUUCCAACAGAACUAGGCUUUCACUUCUGACUGUUUUGCCAUUAAGGCGGGAAACCAACAGUGAGGUUUAUAAAAAUCUAAAGGU